Non-coding RNA from Pantherophis guttatus, 561 nucleotides. NCBI's taxonomy places the organism in Eukaryota, Metazoa, Chordata, Lepidosauria, Squamata, Colubridae. The record is from RefSeq and is a predicted model, not a curated record.
AAAAAAAAGUUGGCCACGCCCACCCAGUCACAUCUCCCCCCCACCAAGCCACGCCCACAGAACCAGUAGUAAAAAAUUUUACAUUUCACCCCUUCUAUGCACUGCAGUAUUGUAGGCCACUUCAGCAAAUGGCAGGAGAUCUGCCCAGCUAAAUUGCUGAUAAUGAACUUAGCAUCUCAGCACUCAUGAAUUAAUCCUGCUCUCCGAUGCAAAAGCAUAUUUUUUGUUCAACAGCUGAAGACUCUUUGUCCUGUUUGCAACCUGUGAGAAAUGGAGGCUGAAGGUGGCAUUUUGUGGGGAGGAGGAGAAUGGCAGCCUGGACCUUCUCCUGCUGAGACACAGAUAUACACCCCAGCUUCCUUUCAGGGCCUCCCUUUCUUCUGAGGGAGGGGUGGAGACCAUCUAGACUGUCCCCAGGGAUGCUAGGUGGACCUGUCACUCUAGACCCCUCAACUCUCCUGGCUUUGAACCCACAGCAGCUUCAUCUACAUUAUUCUUCCUCCCACUCACUUCCCUUCCCUUCGCUUUGCUAUAAAAGAAUAAACUUCAGAUGUAAGAAAA